GUGCCAGCAGCCGCGGUAAUACGUAGGUGGCAAGCGUUGUCCGGAUUUAUUGGGCGUAAAGCGAGCGCAGGCGGUUUCUUAAGUCUGAUGUGAAAGCCCCCGGCUCAACCGGGGAGGGUCAUUGGAAACUGGGAGACUUGAGUGCAGAAGAGGAGAGUGGAAUUCCAUGUGUAGCGGUGAAAUGCGUAGAUAUAUGGAGGAACACCAGUGGCGAAGGCGGCUCUCUGGUCUGUAACUGACGCUGAGGCUCGAAAGCGUGGGGAGCGAACAGGAUUAGAUACCCUGGUAGUCCACGCCGUAAACGAUGAGUGCUAAGUGUUGGAGGGUUUCCGCCCUUCAGUGCUGCAGCAAACGCAUUAAGCACUCCGCCUGGGGAGUACGACCGCAAGGUUGAAACUCAAAGGAAUUGACGGGGGCCCGCACAAGCGGUGGAGCAUGUGGUUUAAUUCGAAGCAACGCGAAGAACCUUACCAGGUCUUGACAUCCUUUGACCACUCUAGAGAUAGAGCUUCCCCUUCGGGGGCAAAGUGACAGGUGGUGCAUGGUUGUCGUCAGCUCGUGUCGUGAGAUGUUGGGUUAAGUCCCGCAACGAGCGCAACCCUUAUUGUUAGUUGCCAUCAUUUAGUUGGGCACUCUAGCGAGACUGCCGGUGACAAACCGGAGGAAGGUGGGGAUGACGUCAAAUCAUCAUGCCCCUUAUGACCU
Molecule: ribosomal RNA, 705 nt
Filed under: uncultured bacterium
Lineage: Bacteria
Description: bacterial SSU rRNA
Rfam family: Bacterial small subunit ribosomal RNA
Source: RNAcentral